RNAcentral lists this ribosomal RNA (165 nucleotides) under uncultured bacterium. Its description in RNAcentral is "partial 16S rRNA". It matches the Rfam family "Bacterial small subunit ribosomal RNA", at positions 355 to 511 of the family's 1533-position model. The record is from RNAcentral.
UAGGGAAUCUUCCACAAUGGACGAAAGUCUGAUGGAGGCAACGCCGCGUGAGUGAAGAAGGUUUUCGGAUCGUAAAGCUCUGUUGUUGGUGAAGAAGGAUAGAGGCAGUAACUGGUCUUUAUUUGACGGUAAUCAACCAGAAAGUCACGGCUAACUACGUGCCAC